GGCACAGUGGCGGAGUGGUUAACGCGACAGAUUCGAAUUUCUUGCAUCCUAUCUGUUCCUCUUUGAGGGCGCAUGUUCGAAUCAUGCCUGUGUCG
Mycena amicta is the source of this 95-nucleotide non-coding RNA. Lineage: Eukaryota; Fungi; Basidiomycota; Agaricomycetes; Agaricales; Mycenaceae. The record is from the annotation of a GenBank genome assembly.